Molecule: unclassified non-coding RNA, 211 nt
Filed under: Hevea brasiliensis (rubber tree)
Lineage: Eukaryota; Viridiplantae; Streptophyta; Magnoliopsida; Malpighiales; Euphorbiaceae
Source: RNAcentral
GGCAAAGCCGGCGUCCCUUGGAGAGUUUCUGGAAGUUGAACGGAGGUUUGGAGAUGGAGCUUUAUACGGUGAUGCUGCGGCGGAGCUUGAAGGCGUGAUGGUGGCGCCGCCUAGGGAUGGAGUAAAUGGACGGGUUUUGUUCGCCGAUGGGAGGGUUCUGCCUCCGGCCGGUGAGAUUGAUGAUGGAACAUCAACGGCUGGGAUUCUUUGU